UGCGUAGGCGGGUCUUUAAGUCAGGGGUGAAAUCCUGGAGCUCAACUCCAGAACUGCCUUUGAUACUGAAGAUCUUGAGUUCGGGAGAGGUGAGUGGAACUGCGAGUGUAGAGGUGAAAUUCGUAGAUAUUCGCAAGAACACCAGUGGCGAAGGCGGCUCACCGGCCCGAUACUGACGCUAAGGCACGAAAGCGUGGGAGCAAACA
RNAcentral lists this ribosomal RNA (206 nucleotides) under uncultured bacterium. RNAcentral describes it as "partial 16S ribosomal RNA". It matches the Rfam family "Bacterial small subunit ribosomal RNA", at positions 568 to 774 of the family's 1533-position model. The record is from RNAcentral.